Molecule: ribosomal RNA, 835 nt
Filed under: Neodorcadion bilineatum
Lineage: Eukaryota; Metazoa; Arthropoda; Insecta; Coleoptera; Cerambycidae
Description: partial large subunit ribosomal RNA
Rfam family: Eukaryotic large subunit ribosomal RNA
Source: RNAcentral
AUUACUAAGCGGAGGAAAAGAAACUAACUAGGAUUCCCUCAGUAGCUGCGAGCGAACAGGGAAGAGCCCAGCACCGAAUCCCGCGGCCGAUACCGGGCGCCGGGAAAUGUGGUGUUAGGGAGGAUCCGUUUAUCCCGAGGUCGUGCGGUGCGUCCAAGUCCUUCUUGAACGGGGCCACAGCCCAUAGAGGGUGCCAGGCCCGUAGCGACCGCUGCCGAUCGCGGGAGGAUCUCUCCUCAGAGUCGGGUUGCUUGAGAGUGCAGCCCUAAGCGGGUGGUAAACUCCAUCUAAGGCUAAAUAUGACCACGAGACCGAUAGCGAACAAGUACCGUGAGGGAAAGUUGAAAAGCACUUUGAAGAGAGAGUUCAAGAGUACGUGAAACCGUUCAGGGGUAAACCUGAGAAACCCGAAAGGUCGAAAGGGGAAAUUCAUUCGCGUCUCGACAGUCGGAGCGGUGCGAUCGCGCGACGGACGGCAAACCAGCCGUCCGCGCCUUUCUUUCCGCGAUCCGGCGUCGAACGCGUGCACUUUUCCCCUAGUAGGACGUCGCGAUCCGUUGGGUGUCGGUCUAAGGCUCGCGGUGGAGCCCGAGCGCGCGUCUUCGGGCGUUCGCGCUCGGACCCGCGGUGUCCCGGCCGACCCGCUCGACGGUAUACAGAUGGCGCGGGGCCGCAAAUUCAAUUUGCGUUCGGCCCACGGCAAGCGCGUGCGGUGUUGACGGCGAUCGGACCUGGUGCCGAUCCCGUCCCCGGACGACUGUUGGCCGCGGUGCUCUCGAACAGACCUCGUUGUGAAACGCCGAUCUGCGACGCUAUAGCUUUGGGUACUUUCAGG